CGUGUACUCCCUUCAUUCGGAAUUACUUGUCGCAGAAAUGGAUGUAUCCAGACGUAUUUUAGUUCUAGAUACAUCUGUUUUCGAGACAAGUAACCGAAUGAAGGGAGUACGUA
This is a non-coding RNA of Triticum aestivum (bread wheat), 113 nucleotides long. The record is from Rfam. NCBI's taxonomy places the organism in Eukaryota, Viridiplantae, Streptophyta, Magnoliopsida, Poales, Poaceae.